AGCUCCAAUAGCGUAUAUUAAAGUUGUUGCGGUUAAAAAGCUCGUAGUUGGAUUUCUACCGAAGACAGCCGGUCCACACUACGUGUGCGCAUCUGGUGUGGCUUUGGUAUCCUCAUGGAGAACAGUUCUGCGCUUCAUUGCGUGGACUGGUAUUCAUGACUUUUACUUUGAGGAAAUUAGAGUGUUCACGGCAGGCGUUUGCCUUGAAUACAUUAGCAUGGAAUAAUAAUAUAGGACUUUGGCCCUAUUUUGUUGGUUUCUAGAGCUGAAGUAAUGAUUAAUAGGGACACUUGGGGGCAUUCGUAUUAUCACGUCAGAGGUGGAAUUCUUGGAUUGUGUUACGACGAACUACUGCGAAAGCAUUUGCCAAGGAUGUUUUCA
This 381-nucleotide ribosomal RNA is filed under the name uncultured eukaryote. Its description in RNAcentral is "SSU rRNA". It matches the Rfam family "Eukaryotic small subunit ribosomal RNA", at positions 587 to 972 of the family's 1831-position model. The record is from RNAcentral.